This is a long non-coding RNA of Sipha flava (yellow sugarcane aphid), 165 nucleotides long. RefSeq lists it as uncharacterized. Lineage: Eukaryota; Metazoa; Arthropoda; Insecta; Hemiptera; Aphididae. The record is from RefSeq and is a predicted model, not a curated record. The transcript has 2 exons.
AUUCUUGGAAUAAAUGCAAUUUCUCCUUUCGCUAACCUAUGAAUAAUUACAAUAACAAAAUGAGAGAAAUAAAUUUACAAUACAGUUUUACAAUCAUAAAAGGACUUAGAAAUUUAUCACACAAAAAAUGAUAUAACUUAAAAUAAAAAAUGAUUACAAAUUUAA